Long non-coding RNA from Anneissia japonica, 192 nucleotides. RefSeq lists it as uncharacterized. The transcript is spliced from 2 exons. The record is from RefSeq and is a predicted model, not a curated record. Lineage: Eukaryota; Metazoa; Echinodermata; Crinoidea; Comatulida; Comatulidae.
AAUAUUGUCUGGUGUCUCCAAGUCGUAUUUAAUUAGUAAUUCAAAUUCAUCUUUAUUGCAAUCAAUAGAUUGGAUAUUACAAUAUUUGUCAAAACAAUUAAACACAUUCAUAUAUAAAACAAGGACAUGUACAUUCAAAAUUAGUCAGAUAGGUACAUUACAUAAAUUUAUUUAGACCUUAUUAUAUUUAUU